AUGUACAUGAUGGAGUGCGGUCGAUUUUGUCGCGGACAGCUACUAGAAUAUUACGCCAACUCUUCAUUACGUUGUCUCUUUGGAACAAUAUUCAGAUUCAGAACUUGAAAGAUACGAAGAAAGGAUGAAGAUACGAGGGAAAAGUCUCCAAAUUUUUAAAACACUGCUUGAAAGUUGACAACAUCAUUUAAUCAAAAGAAAUUCGUCGUUGUCAUUUGUCUGGUAUUCACAACUGAACAAGAUGAAAGCUUAUCGAGUCUGGCCAGCAGAGCAAUUUUCUGAAACACUGAUUGAAACUUAGCAAUACUGUACAUCAUUUCAUCAAAAGAAAUGCCUCGUCAUUUGUCUGAUAAUCAUCACUGAGCGAGAUGAAAGCCUAUCGAAUCUGGCCAGCAGAGCAAGU
This is a non-coding RNA of Styela clava, 403 nucleotides long. The record is from RefSeq and is a predicted model, not a curated record. Lineage: Eukaryota; Metazoa; Chordata; Ascidiacea; Stolidobranchia; Styelidae.